Molecule: transfer-messenger RNA, 351 nt
Filed under: Deltaproteobacteria bacterium
Lineage: Bacteria; Pseudomonadati; Myxococcota; Myxococcia
Rfam family: transfer-messenger RNA
About the family: Bacterial tmRNA, also known as 10Sa RNA or SsrA, is named for its dual tRNA and mRNA-like properties. Its role is to liberate the mRNA from a stalled ribosome.
Source: RNAcentral
GGGGGCGACCAGGCUUCGACGGGGGUGGGAAGUCAAAGCGGCAUGCCGGGGUCCUGUUGGCCCGUAAAACAAACAGGCUGCAUUUAACUGCAGACGAUUUUGAAUACUCCCUAGCUGCCUAACCGCAGUUAGCGUCUUACCGACUCUCUCCCGCGGGGCCGGAUAAGACGUCAUUUAGCGGGAUGGACCGAUUCUCCUGCCGGAGGGGAUGAGGUCGAGAUUUAAACCGGAUGGCCUGUUGAGACCCUGCCGCUGGGGGCUUACUGGGUGAGAUUAAAACAUCGGCUAAGCAUGUAGUCGCAUUUGGCGGAAGACCUUCGGACGGGGGUUCGAUUCCCCCCGCCUCCACCA